RNAcentral lists this unclassified non-coding RNA (805 nucleotides) under Hevea brasiliensis (rubber tree). Lineage: Eukaryota; Viridiplantae; Streptophyta; Magnoliopsida; Malpighiales; Euphorbiaceae. The record is from RNAcentral.
GAAACAUGUUCCUAUUGUUUAUUUGUGCCUACUUAUGAGGAAGAAGUUAUCCAUAAUCAAAUUACCUUUGAUAUAUGUGAGCAUGAAAAGCAUCUUCACGGAAAAAUGACUUUUAAGGUGAAAGUAGUUUCACAGAUGUCUAACUUCAAAGAAAAAUGACAUCACCUCUACUGCUUCUUUCUGCUCUUAACCUAUAGCUUACCUAAAAGUAGGAUUACACUUUUUCAGUGUGCACUCUACCUGUAUGAGAAACACUGAAAAAGCAAACCUUCACUAGCGACUUGUUUCAGUAGACCAUCUAUCAAGGCUGUGGCAAGGCAAUUUUACUCAUGUUCAAACAUUGCUUGGUUCUGGAAGAAGACAUGCUUUGAACUUUUGCUAUUUUCUUCUCAGCAUGAAAUUCUAAUCUGUUGUGAAUACGAGUUGGUAGGAUUAUGUCUACUUUGUUUCCUUAAAUAGAGUGUUUACUUUUACCUUAGAUUAAUUCUGCAUUGAUUAGUAAAACUAGUGGUCCAUUCUGGAUUAUUUCUAUAGGCUGCAUCUUUUCUAAUCUCCUUCUUCGUUUUAUUUUAGGGGAUCACACUCAAAUAAGAAGGAGCGAUUUUGCAAUAUCAUAGAAGUAACAGUUAAAUUGUUUUCUUAAAAUCCAGUCCAAGAAAUAAAUUCUAGUGGCUAUGAGAAAUCAAUUUCUCUGGAAGUUGCUUCCAAGCAUAUCUUUUAGCUAGAAAGUACAAGCUUUGCUUAUAUUUAGAGAAAGGGAAAAAAAAUCUUAACUUUUACCUACCCUUUCUUUUAUUUUUUUUUU